This is a long non-coding RNA of Thamnophis elegans (Western terrestrial garter snake), 1625 nucleotides long. RefSeq lists it as uncharacterized. The transcript is spliced from 3 exons. Lineage: Eukaryota; Metazoa; Chordata; Lepidosauria; Squamata; Natricidae. The record is from RefSeq and is a predicted model, not a curated record.
GGCUCCGCCUUUCCCGCCGCCCGCGGAGCCCCCGCCCGCGGAGCCCCCGCCGCUCCUUCCCUUCGGGCGGCUCCUUUGGGCGCGGGAGGCUCCUGGCGGGGGCGGCGGAGCUUCGCCCGGGGAGCUGAAGGGGAGGCUCCGAAGGGAAGGCCUGCGUCCUCCCUUCCCCGGCUUCUCCUGCCAGGGAGACGCAGCACGCAGGCUCCGAAGACUUCCAGGCUCCCCCCGGGGGUCUUGGGCGACCCCUGGGAAAAGGCCCUUCCACCCCCAGGAGGAGAACCGCCGGGCCAGGAGCCAAGCAGCCGAAGGGAUCCCGGGAAGGGAUGGAGCUCAGCCCGAGGGGAUCCCGGGAGGCCAUUGGGAGACAAGGGAGCCAAGGAGGGACGGGGGAAUCCACUGGAAAGCCAGGGAUCCCAAGGGGGAUCGGGAUCCAGGUGGAAAGAAGCGGAUCCCAGGAGGGGAUCACCCCCACCCUUUCCUGCAGGGGGGGGAAAGGACCCCUCCUCCCUUUAGGGCUGAGCAGGGGGGAGACCAGCCGCGGGGGGGGGAGCUCUGGGCCCCCUGGAGAAGGAGCUGGAGAGGCUCAUGCAGUUGCUCUGCUUCGGUGGGUCCUCUGGACUGGAUUCCCUAGACCAGAUCCCCUGCGGUUGAGGAGGCCGUGGCCCUCUGGCCACAGGGACCCCCAACCCUGCAGCGGAGGAGACGCCAAGGCCCCCCAGCUCUGAACAAAGUCUGGCUAUGACCAAACAGGGGCCGGAGAAGGCGGGGUGGGAACAGGGGGCGCAAAUAAACUCUGUACAUGCUCAGAGGCUGCAGUGGCCUGUUUUCCACAAAGGACGGUUGGGGAUCCUGGGAAUGGUCAUCCCACGUGAAGCGUGUUCCGUGAAUGCAAGCUGCCAGCUGGCCUCUAAUUGAAAUGGGCCCAAUUGACUGUGGAAGGGUCAGGAGACCACAAAGAGAUCUCCAGUCUGCCUGGAAGAAGCAAAGGCGAACCGCUUCUACAUUGGGGCUUCAUAAAUCAGAAAUACACUUUGUAAGGUCUCUGUCUAACUGUGGCUCAGCCACCAUCUCCAAAGGAGAAGGUUGGACAGCAUCUCUUCAAUGAAGGAUGGAUUUAUCCUCCCCUGCCUCCAGCUCCCUAGACCCUCGCUGAUCACUCUGGCCACCCAAGUAAGACAGGGGGUCUAAUCCACAGGUGACUCAGCUAAGAGCUCAGAAGAUCCUCUCCGUUUCUCAGGAUCCAUAGAUUUAGACCGAUCCCAAGUACCUCCACCACACAAAGCCUCCCUCAUCUCAGCCAGAUUUGCCGAACUCAAGAUAGGGGCUACGAAGGUUCGCAUCUCCUUCAUGGUAGAAGGAAGGGGGGCACCGUUUUGAAAUAAAUAAAUAAUUGCUGCGGCCAAACUCCCCCUUUUCCUUUUGCCCUCCUACCUCCCUUCUGGCCCUUCCUGUCUACUAAAGCUCAAACGCCGUCCUUGUUUUCUUCCCAGCAGCUGGAGGAGGGAGGCUGCUGGUCCGAUUCUGGGCAGCCUCCCGGGGGAGACCACCAGUACCUCCUGGGCCCAUUGCCCACUUCGGAUCAGAGAAGCCCAAGGCCAUCCUUUGUCUCUGCACCUGAUCGGAAG